Malus domestica (apple) is the source of this 1070-nucleotide non-coding RNA. NCBI's taxonomy places the organism in Eukaryota, Viridiplantae, Streptophyta, Magnoliopsida, Rosales, Rosaceae. The record is from RefSeq and is a predicted model, not a curated record.
CCCCUAACGGCAAGUCUCUUGUCCAUCUAAUAUCUCUUCCGGAUCUCUCUGCAAUACUGUGUCUCCCUUUCUCUCCAUGACACAACGACAACGAUCUCCGCCACCACUGCUACCUCAGACCUACCCCGGCCCCGACCGAUGAAAAGCUUGGCUCCAUUGAACUCAAUUCUAUCUUCCAAUCUUUGGUGUCUUGCUAUUUCAUUUGAGCCCGUGCCACUCAUUUUCGUAUGAGAGAAAGAGAAGCGAAGAUCGUUUGAGCCCGUGCCACUCAUCUUCCAAUCUUUGGUGUCUUGCUAUUUCAUUUGAGCCUGUGCCACUCUGUCGCCCCAACCAUCACCACCUUCGUCGUCUCACCCGCUCUCAAUCAUCAUCAGGUACUACUCUCACUCAUCUCCUCAUUGUAUCCGUCCAUUGACGUCGAGCAAAACUGCAUCAGCGUCUACAACAACGUCGUUGGAGUUCCUGUUGAGAUUCACCAGAAGGAGAAGGUCUACAUCCCAGAGUUGAACUUCGGACAUCUUCUGACUAGUAGCAAUUACUAUCAUACGGUGAAGAAGACCACCGGUGGACACAACGACUACAGCCCCAAGCUUACGAACAUCUUGUCCACCGAGUUCGUCAUCGAGACGACGGACGUAUAAGCAGGUGAAAGUGGAAGAUGCAUCUCUUCUUGCAUUAUAACACGAAGGUUGUCGAGCAUUGCUAGCAGAACCUAAAGUCGACAUGUUACGAUAGAUGGGCUCUUGCGUUUUGGCGAGGGGAAUGCAGGAAUAUGCUUGAACAUUGAAGAUUUCUUGUAGAUAUGGCUUUGGGCUCGCCUGCUUUCCUCUUGUGUUUUGGCGAGGGAAAUGCAGGAAUAUGCUUGAACAUUGAAGAUUUCUUGUAGAUAUGGCUUUGGGCUCGCCUGUUUUCCUCUUGUUAUGUGAGAUGCAAUAUUUGGCAUUCUUAUAAGAUGAUCUAAUACGAUCGAAUGAUUUCGAGCUUACUCGGUCAAAUGUUUGUUACACAUCGCUUGCUUGUUUGCUUAACUGAACAACCAUUUAUACAUUGAAGUGUUUACUUGUAGUUCA